Molecule: ribosomal RNA, 478 nt
Filed under: uncultured bacterium
Lineage: Bacteria
Description: partial 16S ribosomal RNA
Rfam family: Bacterial small subunit ribosomal RNA
Source: RNAcentral
GACGAACGCUGGCGGCGUGCUUAACACAUGCAAGUCGAACGGUAAGGCCCUUCGGGGUACACGAGUGGCGAACGGGUGAGUAACACGUGGGUGAUCUGCCCUGCACUUCGGGAUAAGCCUGGGAAACUGGGUCUAAUACCGGAUAGGACCACUGCCUGCAUGGGUGGGGGUGGAAAGCUUUUGCGGUGUGGGAUGGGCCCGCGGCCUAUCAGCUUGUUGGUGGGGUGAGGGCCUCACAAGGCGACGACGGGUAUCCGGCCUGAGAGGGUGACCGGCCACACUGUGGCGGAGAUACGGCCCAUACUCCGACGGGAGGCAGCAGUGGGGAAUAUUGCACAAUGGGCGCAAGCCUGAUGCAGCGACGCCGCGUGAGUGAUGACGGCCUUCGGGUUGUAAACCUCUUUCAGCACCGACGAAGCGCAAGUGACGGUAGGUGCAGAAGAAGGACCGGCCAACUACGUGCCAGCCGCCGCAGUAA